This 74-nucleotide transfer RNA is filed under the name Bacteroidota bacterium. RNAcentral's name for it is "Bacteroidetes bacterium tRNA-Ala". It matches the Rfam family "tRNA". Rfam says of the family: Transfer RNA (tRNA) molecules are approximately 80 nucleotides in length. Their secondary structure includes four short double-helical elements and three loops (D, anti-codon, and T loops). The record is from RNAcentral. Lineage: Bacteria; Pseudomonadati; Bacteroidota.
GGGGGAUUAGCUCAGCUGGCUAGAGCGUCUGCAUGGCAUGUAGAAGGUCAUCGGUUCGACUCCGAUAUUCUCCA